UGGAGUACGACGGCAGUGAUUAGAGUUUGAUCCUGGCUCAGAACGAACGCUGGCGGCGCGUCUUAAGCAUGCAAGUCGGGCGGGAUCGUGGUGCUUGCACCACGUGAGAGCGGCGGACUGGCGAGGAGCGCGUGGGUGACGCACCCCCCGGACGGGGACAGCCGGCAGAAAUGCCGGGUGAUACCGGAUGAGGUCCCCCUUCUUGGAAGAGGGGGAGGAAAGGGGCUUCGGCCCCGCCGGGGGAGCGGCCCGCGUCCCAUCAGCCUGUAGGCGGUGUAACGGACCACCUAAGCUAUGACGGGUACCCGGACUGAGAGGUCGGACGGGCGCAUUGGGACUGAGAUACGGCCCAGACUCCUACGGGAGGCAGCAGCUAAGAAUAUUCCGCAAUGGGGGGAACCCUGACGGAGCGACGCCGCGUGGGCGAUGAAGGCCGGAAGGUUGUAAAGCCCUUUUAUGCGCGAGGAAUAAGGAGGGGAGGCAAUGCCCCUCCGGUGACUGUAGCGCAUGAAUAAGCGCCGGCUAAUUACGUGCCAGCAGCCGCGGUAACACGUAAGGCGCAAGCGUUGUUCGGAAUCAUUGGGCGUAAAGGGCGUGUAGGCGGCCGCAUAAGUCGGGAGUGAAAGGCGCGGGCUCAACCCGCGGACUGCUCCCGAUACUGUGCGGCUCGAGUCCCCGUGGCGCGGCCGGAAUUCCAGGUGUAGGGGUGAAAUCUGUAGAUAUCUGGAAGAACACCGGUGGCGAAGGCGGGCCGCGAGCGGGAGACUGACGCUGAGGCGCGAAGGUGCGGGUAGCGAACAGGAUUGGAUACCCUGGUAGUCCGCACAGUAAACGAUGCACGCUGGGCGUCCGGCGCAUGGCCGGGUGCCGAAGCGAACGCGGUAAGCGUGCCGCCUGGGGAGUAUGCCCGCAAGGGUGAAACUCAAAGGAAUUGACGGGGGCCCGCACAAGCGGUGGAGCAUGUGGUUUAAUUCGAUGGUACGCGAGGAACCUUACCCGGGUUUGACAUGCAC
This 1013-nucleotide ribosomal RNA is filed under the name uncultured bacterium. Its description in RNAcentral is "bacterial SSU rRNA". It matches the Rfam family "Bacterial small subunit ribosomal RNA", at positions 1 to 991 of the family's 1533-position model. The record is from RNAcentral.